AGCCAUCGUGUAGAGCACAAAAGAAAAAGAAGUAUAAGAAGCAAAAAGCCAAAACGUUUUGCUUUUCGCGCCGCCGUACCGCACCUCUCCGCCGCCUGCCGCUUCGUUGCCCGCUCCCUUCAGGAUCUGCCCCGGCGUGUGCGCUGCCGUUUCGUUCGCUGAGCACGCCGCAUGCCGUCAUGAACACGGACGACCGCUACAAGCUCCUCCGCAGCGUCGGAGAGGAGUGCAUUCAAGAAAGCGAGCUGCGCAACCUUAUCGAAAAGAAGCCGCUCAUUCGCUGCUACGAUGGCUUCGAGCCCUCCGGCCGCAUGCACAUUGCCCAGGGCAUCUUCAAGGCGGUCAAUGUCAACAAGUGCACCGCCGCCGGGUGCGAGUUUGUCUUCUGGGUGGCGGACUGGUUUGCGCUCAUGAACGACAAGGUCGGCGGCGAACUGGAGAAGAUCCGCAUUGUUGGCCGGUACCUCAUUGAGGUGUGGAAGGCGGCGGGCAUGGACACGGACAAGGUUUUGUUUUUGUGGAGCAGCGAGGAGAUCACGAGCCAUGCCGACACGUACUGGCGCAUGGUGCUCGAUAUUGGCCGCCAGAAUACGAUCGCCCGCAUCAAGAAGUGCUGCACAAUCAUGGGCAAGACGGAAGGCACGCUGACGGCGGCACAGGUGCUGUACCCGCUGAUGCAGUGCUGCGACAUCUUCUUUCUCAAGGCUGACAUCUGCCAACUGGGCCUGGACCAGCGCAAGGUGAACAUGCUCGCACGCGAGUACUGCGACCUGAUUGGCCGCAAGUUGAAGCCGGUCAUUCUGUCACACCACAUGCUGGCCGGUCUGAGGCGGGGGCAGGCGAAGAUGAGCAAGAGUGACCCGGACAGUGCCAUCUUCAUGGAAGACACCGAGGAGGAUGUGGCACGUAAGAUCCGUCAGGCCUACUGUCCGCGUGUCAAGCAGUCCGCCAGCGCCAUCACAGAUGACGGGGCGCCGGUCGCCACGGACGACCGCAACCCGGUGCUGGACUACUUCCAGUGUGUCGUCUACGCCCGACCCGGCGCUGUGGCGGCUAUUGACGGCACCACGUACGCGACCUACGAGGACCUCGAGCAGGCUUUUGUGAGCGACGAGGUCAGCGAGGAUGCCCUCAAGUCGUGCCUGAUUGAUGAGGUGAACGCCCUGCUGGCGCCGGUGCGCCAGCACUUUGCGUCAAACGAGGAGGCUCACGAGCUGCUGGAGGCGGUUAAAUCGUACCGCAAAGGUGGCGCGACGCUUCCACUGGCCGAGACAGCGCUCCCUGCCGCCCCCGAAAAGCCGCACGCGUGCAUGUGGAUGCCGGCGCUGCUGAAGGUGCCGCUGGAUGUCGCGGAGGGGAUGAUCAAAGCCACUGAGGACUUCAUCGCCGCCCAUCCGGGGGGCACGGUGACAGUGGUGUUGCCUGACUGGUCGGCGGUGGCCAGUGACGAAAUCACCGGGGUGGAGAAAGACAUCUCGGCCGCCCUGCAGGUAAACUGUGCGCUUCUAAAGGCGUAUGGACUGCCGAACUCGGUGAAGAUUGUGACGGAGAACGAGGUCAUUCUCGGCAACCGCAACGACUUCUGGGUGAGUGUAAUCGGCAUUGCUCGCAAGAACCUGCUGAGCCACAUCGAGGAGCUGUACGGGGGAGAGUUACGCAACGCCGGCCAGGUCAUUGCUGCCCUCAUGCGCGUUGCCACGGCUCUGAUGCUCUCCGUCUCGCACGUCAUCUCAACCUCGCUGGAUGGGCACAUCAACGCCUUCGCCCGCGAGUACACGAAGGAGCGCAUCGAGUGCGUGCAGACGCUGGAGGGACGCAUCCCGGCGCUGCACCGCCCUGGCGCCGCCCCGGCGGUGCUCGGUGCCGACGACGUCCUAUACCUGGACGACAAUGACAUGGACAUCCGCCGUAAAAUCAAGAAAGCGUACUCGGCGCCGAACGAGGAGGCCAACCCGGUCAUAUCGGUCGCCCAGCACCUUCUCGCACAGCAUGGAGCCCUCAACAUCGAGCGCGGGGAGGCCAACGGCGGCAACGUAAGCUACAACACGCCAGAGGCUCUCGUGGCAGACUGCGGCAGCGGCGCUCUUCACCCUGCCGACCUCAAGGCGGCGGUGCUACAGCUGCUGCUGGAUCGGUCGGCGCAGGCGCGCGCGUUGCUCAACGGCGAGCUCAAGAAGAAUAUGACCGCUCUUCGUAACGCGGAGAAGAAGAUGGCAAAGAAGAGGUAAGAGGGGCUUUUGGAGUCAGGGGAAGGGGUGCGUGUGGUAUAGGUGAAGAGGCGGCCCCCUCCUCUGUGCCGAACUUCUCUCUCCACCCGCCUCGUUUCGUUUCGUUACACGCGUGUAACGGUGUGUAUAACGGGUUUGCAUGUGAGUCAAGUACUAAGCCGCCCCGAGCCAACCUCAAGUAGGAGGGGAAAAAGGGGGCCAUGCGCAAUGUCUGUCUCGCCUGCACACGCGUCUUUGUGCCUUCACCAGGCACUGACGCGUGGCGCGGCAAGGCCGCACCGGUCU
RNAcentral lists this unclassified non-coding RNA (2513 nucleotides) under Leishmania donovani. Its description in RNAcentral is "gene:LdHU3.14.1820(CDS-product:tyrosyl-tRNA_synth etase_putative)". The record is from RNAcentral. Lineage: Eukaryota; Euglenozoa; Kinetoplastea; Trypanosomatida; Trypanosomatidae.